Long non-coding RNA from Felis catus (domestic cat), 941 nucleotides. RefSeq lists it as uncharacterized. NCBI's taxonomy places the organism in Eukaryota, Metazoa, Chordata, Mammalia, Carnivora, Felidae. The record is from RefSeq and is a predicted model, not a curated record. The transcript has 4 exons.
GCAUUUUUAACAAGUUCCAGGUGAUGCUAUGCUGCUGGUCAGGAGAAUCACUGGUCUAGGCAUUGCAGGUGUAGCAGUGGUCAAGAAAGAGUCCUCACCCUCGUGAAUAUUAUGUUAGUUUGGGAGAUACAGAUGACAAAUAACUAAAUAAAUCAGAAAGAUACAGACGGUCAUUGCUAUGGUCUGAAUAUGUGUGUCUUCCUGAAAGUCAUAUGUUUAAGGCCUAAUGCCCAAUGUGAUGGUAUUAGUAGGCGGAUUCUUUGGGAGGUGAUAAGGUCAUCAGGGCGGAGCAUAAGAUUAAUAUCCUUAUAAAAGAGAGAUUCAGCUGCGUCUGUGCUUCUUCUACCAGGUGAGGAUCAGAAAAGACUGGCUCAGAGGAGGGUCUUGACCUGAAUCGGCUGGCACCCUGAUCUCAGACUUAAAGCCUCCAGGACUACUUGUAGAGGCAAACUGGUCUGCUGUCCACAUCUACAUGGAGAGGGUCAUGAGGCAAGGAACUGAGGACACUCUCUGACCAACAACCAGGAAAGAAAGAAAAAACAAGAAACAAACAAAACAACAACAAAGAAAAUAAGAUCUUUCUUCAGCAAGAAGCAGCUCUUUCCAAACUCAAGCCUCAGAUGGUGCUCAGUUAUGCCAGACAUCUAGAUCUCAACUUCAUGCGAUUCUGAAGCAAAGGAUCAAGAUAGUGAGAGUCCUACUAAGACUCACCCAGUGUGCAAUACCCAUGGCCAUAGACUCCAGCCCUCAACGAAGUACAGUACCCACAGAGAUCCCUUCUCCUUUUAACUGUGAAGAUGUGGAGAACGUUUUGUUCUGGGAGGAGUGAGUUGUUUUGUUUUGUUUUGUUUUGUUUUGUUUUGUUUUGUUUGUGUCUCCCUAGCUCUUUGUUCUCUUCAUGUUUUUUGAGAACCUCAGGGAGCUUUCUUUGUACAUUACCA